AGCCUUCCCCACUGCCUUCUGUGCUAGGGAUCACUUCCUUGUUGAGUGGGACCUGAGUUUUGAGAGGAUCUUCUGCUCCUGUUCAUCUGGGCCCUUUCUUUCAAGACCCCAGAGACGAAGGCAUGUGGUGGGCCCUAGCCCUGCUUCUAGCUUUCCUGUCUCUUGCCAGUCAGAAAUCUUCCAACUUGGAAGGGAGAACAAAGUCAGUCACCAGGCCAACUGGGUCAUCAGCUGUAAUCACUUGUGAUCUUCCUGUAGAAAAUGCCGUCUACACCCACUGGUACCUACACCAGGAGGGGAAGGCCCCACAGCGUCUUCUGUACUAUGACUCCUACAACUCCAGGGUUGUGUUGGAAUCAGGAAUCAGUCGAGAAAAGUAUCAUACUUAUGCAAGCACAGGGAAGAGCCUUAAAUUUAUACUGGAAAAUCUAAUUGAACGUGACUCUGGGGUCUAUUACUGUGCCACCUGGGAUAGGCACAGUGAUUCAGACCUGUGCUACACCACACUGAAAAUCUGCCUUGUGACUACUCCUGGUACACAAGAUAGACCAGCCUCAUCUCAUUUCCUGCCCAUGAAUUCACUGUAUUCUGUACAAAGAGAAACACAGCUUAACUCCUCAUCUCUCCCCUAAUAUCACACUCCCCUGGCGGCAGCUGCACCCUGUUCUCCACCCCACCCUCAUGAGUUACCUAAAGACCAAACUACAAUCUCCCAGCUGUGUCAGCCAAGCAGCCUUGCUGACAGCAAAGUUCUUUCAGCUCUUCUAUGGGCUGGUGGAGACCCAUUCCACCUGCUUCCUAAGACAGACAAAUUCCUCAAGGACUGGUCUGUAAAGGGAUUCAUUUAGGAGACUAUAUGGGAAGACUAGCUUCACUCAAGCAUUUAUCCAAUUAUUGUCUAUAGGCUAAAAUAGUGCUUAUUCAUUGCUCAGGAUAAAUGUUGGAAUAACAACUUUGCACUUCAGUAAGACAUCUAACGUGUAUCAGAUCUGCUAUCUUUUGGACACACUGACAUUUUUUUCUACAUAACAAAUCAUGGUACUAUUGGUCUGCAGGAGAAUGGGUAAAAAAGUGAUAGUCAUAGGUACGCCAACUUGUGGGUCAUAUCAUAGGUUUUCAACCAUUUCAAGCAUCCCUGCCCUAAUGCAAGUAUCUGAAGGAUCUGACCCUUGCCCUGCAGCAGAAUUCAUUCCAUGUCCCCUCUGGAUAUUAGACUGAUAAUUUGGAUCAGGUCUCAGCAUGGGCCAUUGAGGAACACUACAGCCCUGCUGAGAGAUAAAAAGGAUUAUCCACUCAAGGAGUUCACACCUCCGGGCCGACAUGGAGAACGUGCCUAGAAGCAGACUUGGAGGGUGCUCAGUGGUGGGUUGUGGAAUGUAAGCCUGAAGAAGCAGAGUUUAAUUCUACGGGGGUGCUUUCAUAAUUUAGUACCCUGACAGGGCUCCUGGUGUUGGUCCUUAGACACUCCUGGGAUGGCUCCCUGGAAACAUGGAGGAAACCUUGGUCGCAUGACAUGAUACGGAGAUGUUGGAGCUGCCUGGACACAGUUACAGAGGGAGGCAUUAAAAGGCUUCGAGAGGUCUUAGAAAAUGACUCUUCCUGUCUCAAAAUGCAGUCCUUCAUUCUGAUUGAUGAAUUGGAAGCACAUGGCUGGUGUAAAGAAUAAGAAACUAAUUAUAAGCCAGGAAACAGCAGGAGAAGAAAGCAGAGAAGCAACGCUUACCCUGAAGAAUUAAUUUCCGUUUAGAAAAUAUCACAGCUGAUGUGUCAAAGGCCCCGGUAUGCAGGAAUGAGAUUAAACAAAUGUGGUCAUGAGGAAGAGGUUUCUGAAUAAUGAUAGAGAAGCUUGAGUCUACAAGAAAUCCAGAGUCCAGAAUACUGCAGGGGAGCAGUGCUGGGUUCAUGUUUAUCUGGUCUCUUGUCUAUUGGAUCCUCUUUCUUCCAGAACCCUAAACCUUGAAUCAGCCUUAUAGUCCUGGCUCCUAGAAGAGUGUUUCUCAAAGUGUACUCCACGGACCACCUGGAUAAGAAGCACGUGAGGCUUUUAAUUAAAAAAAAAAAAAAAAGUACAGGUUCUGGGAAGCAUCCAACACAAUAAGACAGAAUCUUGGAAUGAAGGGUGAAAAUGUGCAUUUUAAAAUAACCUCCAGAGCUGAUUCUUAUUCAAACUGACUUUUAAAAACUGCUGCACUAGUGGCAAGAGAUCGAGGGGCUGUCCUGAGCCUGACACAGAAAGGUGUUCUAGAAAGCUGCUCACAGGCUCCUUCGCAGCCCACCAAAUCCGCCUCACUCUUAUCUCCCCCAGCCCCUCAAAGCAGCUGCUUUGACAGUUUCUCACAUUUUUGCAUGAUAAUCCCACAACUGCAAUUCCUUCUGGCUUCCUGUGACCUCACGCAAGAAAAAGUUGUGUACUAAAUGAAUCUGCUUUAACUUGCUCUCCUUCCUCGGGGAUCACACCUUUUUAAGAAAGCCUGUCCCUUACCUUGAAGCACAAACAUAUUCUCAUUUUUAUUCUCCCAAUACCUUGAAGGUUUUCUUCUGCACAUGUAUUUGUUUGAUCUGCCUUUUGUGCGUGGGGUGGGAGUUAGGUAGGAAUCUUAAAGUGGAGAGCCAGUUUCUUCCCAAAUUACUGACCUAACCCAUCCUUAACCCCCAGUUCAAGGCCACCUUUGUGAUAGUGAAGCUUCCACAUGCUCACUCAGCCCCUUCUGCUCUCUCUUCUUCUCUACUGUGCAUGUCGGCUUGUACUUUUGCCAGUUUCUCUAAAGACACAACCAGAGGUGGGGUGGCUGUGUGUGCACAACUUCAACUUUACAUGUGGGGCUGAGUCCCUAUGUUGUAUAUCCUUGUGCAAAAGCACAAUAUGUUAAUUGCUAUAGCUUUUAAAAAAAUAAUUAAUAGUUUUUCAUAAUCAAAUUUUCUUGCUUUUUUGUUUUUUCAAAAAAGCAUACUUUUAUUGAAGAAUAAACCCCUUAUAUAUGUACACUUAUUUAUAACUAUGAACCAUGAACUAGGAUAGAAAUGCAUUGUGUAUAUUACAAAACAUAACAAAAAUAAUAGGGGUAGGGAGGUGCAGAUGUUGGUCAAAGGAUAUAAACCUGCAGUUCUAUGAUGAAUAAGUUCUGGACAUCUGGAAUACAGCAUGGUGACUAUACUUAGUAAUACUAUAUUGUACACUUGAAGCUUACUGAAAGAGUAAAUCUCAAGUGUUCUCACCACACAAACCCAAAGGUAACUAUGUUCUCACCACACAAACCCAAAGGGAACUAUGUAUUAAUUAGCUUGAUUGUGGUAACCAUUUCACAAUGUAUACAUUUGCCAAAACAUUAUGUUGUAUACCUGGAAUAUAUAAUUUUAUUUAUCAAUUAUACCUCAAUAAAGCUGAAAGAGGGGAUUACUAAUUCCCACAAAAUACAGAUUUAACAAAAACUUUUAUUCAACAAACAGUGCUAUGAAGUUGUAAAUUGGAAACAAAAGAAAUAAAAUUUCAUCCACAGUCUUCUCAUCAAAACCCUUCAGUGGCAUUCCUCUUUCUGGUGUCCCAGUCUUGUCAAUUUUGCUAAUAACUGUCAUCCUGGGAAUACCCAAUUUAUCCUACAUGACAAAAUGACAAAGUCUGAUUAGAUGAGUUCUCAGAUUCUAGCAUGGCCAGAAGAGCACUGUCCUGGGUCGGAUAAAUCACGUGGAAGAUGCAGGGGAUGCGUGACUUUAAAGGUCCAGCCCUUAGUCCCUGGAUCUUCAUGCAGGGGCCGCCUCAGCCUGGAUCUGCUCUUCCUCACCACUGCAGCCCUAUCCCACGCUGGCUGAGGUCUGCUUCCACCUGGGCAGUGACUGGAUGACAUGGGAUGAGAGGACACACCUCUCCCUCGCCCAGCAUCGCAUUUCUCUUUCCCUGGAGAUCUGGGAUCUUGGUCAGAAUCCUUCAAACGCCACCCAGGGCUUGAGAGGGCAAGCCCUCCUACACCUUGACUGCGUUUUGCCCAAGAUUUCCCCCAUAUUAUUAUUUUAAACGUGUCUAAUUUAGACAAAUAGAACCUGUAAGUGCUACAUUGAGAAGAGCACAGGGCCACCGAAUUGGGAAGACAAGUAGAGGAAAGGAAAGCAAAUGUCACCAGACAGAAUGUAUGGCUGCAGGUUUACAGCAGAUUCUAUUAAAAUCUAUGGUUGGGCUGGGUGUGGUGGUUCACCCCUCUAAUCUCAGCACUUUGGGAGGCCAAGGCAGAGAGAUCACCUGAGGUCAGGAGUUCAA
RNAcentral lists this long non-coding RNA (4249 nucleotides) under Homo sapiens (human). Its description in RNAcentral is "non-protein coding lnc-AMPH-6:2". The record is from RNAcentral. Lineage: Eukaryota; Metazoa; Chordata; Mammalia; Primates; Hominidae.